GAGCCCGUGGCUCAAUGGUUAGAGUGAUUGACUUCUGAUCAAUGCAUCGCGGGUUCC
RNAcentral lists this transfer RNA (57 nucleotides) under Schistocephalus solidus. It matches the Rfam family "tRNA", at positions 1 to 55 of the family's 71-position model. From Rfam's summary of the family: Transfer RNA (tRNA) molecules are approximately 80 nucleotides in length. Their secondary structure includes four short double-helical elements and three loops (D, anti-codon, and T loops). The record is from Rfam by way of RNAcentral. Lineage: Eukaryota; Metazoa; Platyhelminthes; Cestoda; Diphyllobothriidea; Diphyllobothriidae.